AUGAUGACACCGGCGCAAGUAACCCGGUGGUUGAAGAGGUUCAUGAGAGCCGGCGUCACACCCGGACCAACAAGGACACCGACCUCUCCUUCGAGUUACCUGACGCAUCAAGGAAGCGCCGGACUGAGGAGACCUCCCCCUCUUCCGGCGACUCUAUGCAGUCAAGUCUGCCGGCUUUCAAGACCGUGCCCGGGCCAGGCAAAGCUCACCAAGAGAGCUAAGAAAACCAAGUCGGCCGGAGAGCCGGAUUUGCCUGAACCGGAGGUGACGGUCCAAGAACCGCCAGCUGCCUCCGCUCCCGAAGCCACCACUCCAAUGGACACGGCACCUGUAGAAGCUUCUGCUGACCCGGAGGCCUCCGGCUCGGCUCAACCAACAAAUGACCCGGACGUGGUAAUCACCCGGGCGGAGUUCGUUGAGCCGGGGAGACCUACCGUGCUGGCCAAGUGCUCCGCUAAGGGGGAGUUGCUGCAGCCCCACCGGGUGAACCUGGACCUCUCCGACUACGCCAACCUGAGCAUCGGAGAGCUCGUCUCUGGAUACAUCAGCCAAGUGCACAAGAGCCGGGACGCAGAGGUUGCCAUGGUGAACCAGAUCCAGCAGAAGUCUGAGGCUGUUGGCAAGAAACUUGAGGCUGACCUUGCUGAUCUCAAGAACCGGCUAAAGAUGCAAGAGAUGGAGACCCGGAAGGCAAAUGCCAAGUUCGUGUCCAGCAUCGCCGCGCAAGAGAAGCUGAAGACGGAGUUCGACGCUGAGCGGAAGGCGUGGGCCGAAGAAAAGGUCGCACUGGUGAACCGGGCUGAACAGGCGGAGAAGGCUCUCUCUGAGAAGACCGCCGAGCUCUCCGGCCUAAAGCGCCAAGUGUCCCAGAUGGUGGCCGCAGUCUUCGGUCCCAGAAGUGCCAACCUGAAUCAGAGUGUGGUGACCAAGCUGAAGGCCGUAUACACCCUGGUGGAACAACUCUACACCGGGUCACAACGUGCCUUGGCUGUGGUGGCCCUCUCCAAGGAAGUGCCGACUCACCUGGCGGAAGUCCUUCGCCGGCUCGCCGUUCUUCCUCAACGGAUCCAAGAACUGCGACGAGCCUCUGCGAGAGCCGGAGCGAUUGCUGCGCUGAGCCGGGCUAAGGCGUUCUUGCCAGAUUUAGACCCGGCGGACAUCGCCCUCGGCUACCCAAGUCUGAAGGAAGACGGCACCGCCUUUGAUCAGAAGGACUUUUCAGCUUGCGUGAAGGCCGUACGCCCGGUGGCCACUCUUAUUGGCAACGAUACCGAUCUGACCAAGUACCGGCCGGGCUACGACGCAGAAAAUCAGAGGAUUCCUACUCCGCGCUAUGAAGCCCUCAACUUGAUCCCGCCGGCUCGUCAGCACACUUUCGCCCCGGAGAUUGACCCUUUCGGGUUAAUUGAUGAGGAAGCCCAGUUCGAAGCGCUUAGCGGCAUCGACUGGAAGUCAUCAACCUUCCGGGUCUUGGGAUCAACCGGAGGAGAAGGAAGAGAUGAGCCGGAGACUUCCACUCAGCAAGCGUCUUAA
This 1533-nucleotide ribosomal RNA is filed under the name Triticum aestivum (bread wheat). RNAcentral's name for it is "partial small subunit ribosomal RNA". The record is from RNAcentral. Lineage: Eukaryota; Viridiplantae; Streptophyta; Magnoliopsida; Poales; Poaceae.